UGGCGGACGGGUGAGUAACGCGUGGGUAACCUGCCUUGUACAGGGGGAUAACAGUUGGAAACGACUGCUAAUACCGCAUAAGCGCACAGUACCGCAUAGUACAGUGUGAAAAACUCCGGUGGUACGAGAUGGACCCGCGUCUGAUUAGCUUGUUGGUGGGGUAACGGCCUACCAAGGCAACGAUCAGUAGCCGACUUGAGAGAGUGAUCGGCCACAUUGGGACUGAGACACGGCCCAAACUCCUACGGGAGGCAGCAUG
RNAcentral lists this ribosomal RNA (259 nucleotides) under uncultured bacterium. Its description in RNAcentral is "partial 16S ribosomal RNA". It matches the Rfam family "Bacterial small subunit ribosomal RNA", at positions 96 to 353 of the family's 1533-position model. The record is from RNAcentral.